AGUGAACGCUGGCGGUAGGCCUAACACAUGCCAGUCGAACGGCAGCACAGUAAGAGCUUGCUCUUACGGGUGGCGAGUGGCGGACGGGUGAGGAAUACAUCGGAAUCUACUUUUUCGUGGGGGAUAACGUAGGGAAACUUACGCUAAUACCGCAUACGACCUACGGGUGAAAGCAGGGGAUCUUCGGACCUUGCGCGAUUGAAUGAGCCGAUGUCGGAUUAGCUGGUUGGCGGGGUAAAGGCCCACCAAGGCGACGAUCCGUAGCUGGUCUGAGAGGAUGAUCAGCCACACUGGAACUGAGACACGGUCCAGACUCCUACGGGAGGCAGCAGUGGGGAAUAUUGGACAAUGGGCGCAAGCCUGAUCCAGCCAUACCGCGUGGGUGAAGAAGGCCUUCGGGUUGUAAAGCCCUUUUGUUGGGAAAGAAAAGCAGCAGGUUAAUACCCCGCUGUUCUGACGGUACCCAAAGAAUAAGCACCGGCUAACUUCGUGC
Molecule: ribosomal RNA, 493 nt
Filed under: uncultured bacterium
Lineage: Bacteria
Description: partial 16S ribosomal RNA
Rfam family: Bacterial small subunit ribosomal RNA
Source: RNAcentral